Mauremys reevesii (Reeves's turtle) is the source of this 439-nucleotide long non-coding RNA. RefSeq lists it as uncharacterized. The record is from RefSeq and is a predicted model, not a curated record. NCBI's taxonomy places the organism in Eukaryota, Metazoa, Chordata, Testudines, Geoemydidae. The transcript is spliced from 3 exons.
UGGAUGCAUACAAUCCCCUAACCAAAUAGUAUAGCAAUUAGUUAAAUGUAUUUUUUGUUGUUUGGACUAGUCUGUCUUUUAUGCUCUUUGAAGGACAAGAGAUGAAGCCACACACAACUCCUUGAAUGCAUUCUAGGAAGAUCCAAACUUGAAAGAUAUAGGGGGAAUUUAGAAGCUAUUCAAAGGAGUCCUUGAUUUUGACCAAACUGAAGUCUUGCAGGCUUGAAGCACAGUGUGGGACAGUUUAUGCUGCCAGUCCCUGUGCUGCAUCUGUUCUUUGGAAAAACUAGAAGACUUCAAUCAGUUUGACACUUUCCACCACCACGAGCCUAAUCAGAGGAUUCUUAUUACUGUGUCUACAUUGCUUUUCCUAUAAAGUUAAAAAAAAAAAAACCAGAAAAUUGGCAAACUAUAUUCUAAUAAAUGAGUUAUGUUUUUA